Long non-coding RNA from Lytechinus pictus (painted urchin), 2936 nucleotides. RefSeq lists it as uncharacterized. Lineage: Eukaryota; Metazoa; Echinodermata; Echinoidea; Temnopleuroida; Toxopneustidae. The transcript is spliced from 3 exons. The record is from RefSeq and is a predicted model, not a curated record.
GAAAAUGAAAGGGAACAUGGGAAUCAUGCGUGAUCAAAUAAUUCAACCAAUGACAGUAGCUUGUGAAUACGUCAUGUUUGGGCUCAAAAGUAUGACGUAUAAAUAUCAUAGUUUGGCAGCAUAUUUUUCUUUAUACUGGAUGGACUCGGAGCAGAACUGUAUUGUAUUCGAUAGCAUAUCGUGAGAGCGAGCUAGGUAUAUACGUGAGAGGAGUUUUCGCCAAGAUCGCUUUGAAGGCUACAUAAUUUACGUUGGACAACGUUGGCCUCCGAGCAACAGUCGUUUGACCAGCUAUAUAUUUCUACAAAACGGAGGAGCGAUUGUUGUAAGAAAUUAUUAUUGUCAAUAUUUUUCCAUCAAACAAACCGGAUUUUUGGCGUACACUAAGUUGCCUGCAACCCCUCCUUGGAUUAAGUUUGAUGUCACUGCAUCUAUUCUUUGAUAUGACCAAGAAGUUUAUACGACUGGAGUUCCAAUGGGCAACAAAUUUAUUCAAGCAGCUGUUUAUUUCUGAAGAAAGCACAAACAAAAUCUACUGUAGUAAUGUUGCCUUUGAUAUCCGCCGUGCGAAGCUGCCAGUUUCCUGGGAAAAACGAGAAGUGAUUUUUUUUUUAUAUAAUAUGUAUCAAUAGGUCUAUCUCAUCAUUUAUAUCAAUAAACGAACUGGAAAUUGGGCACCAAUCGAUAUUGUGCUAAGAUGUUUUGCUAGAUUGUUUCAACUAGGCUUUAAUUAGUGAAGAAAAUAUGGAUUUGACCUUCAUAAAAUCCAGAUUUUGACACUUUUCCGAUCGUUCCCAACAUAUACAAAAAUAACAUACGGAUAUUAGAAUAUUAAUUCUUGUUCAUGAUUUAUAGUGCACGCACAUGCAGAGUCGAGUAAAUUUUAGUCACAUAUUUUAGAAAAUAUUGCACCAUUUCUUUUCCCAUGCCCUGCAGGGUAAGAAUUAUGAACCGCUCAUACCAGACCAUAAUGCAGCUAAAAGCAAUUAUCAUCACAAAGCCCACCUAAUGAAUAUUCAUGACGAUGUGCAUAUAACUGUUUUCACAAAAUAUUGAUAAACUUUAAAAUUCAAUAACUUUGUUAUUUGUUAGCCGAUUUUGAUGAAAUUUUCAGAAUUUUGCUAUGUGAAUUUUACUAUAUUUAUUUGGAUAUAAUAUUUUCAGCCCGGACCAUCCCUUUAAGCUGAAGUAAUUCAGGAAUCGGUUUUUUCUUCUCCAUUUGCAAGGAAGAUUCAAUAAAGUAAAGUCUGGCUGACAGUUGGCGGCUUCGAACUUGAUUCAAAGGGAAUUAGUUUGCUGACUGUGGCUCCAUCUCUAUUUAAACCUUGAUCAUACAUACCAAGAAAAUACAAGUGCAAUUUUAGAGCUAGUGGUACGGAGCUUCUUUUGGGGUGCAAUUGACGAUAAGAAAGAAGUUUUUAACAUUAGACUGCAAUUGGCUGUAUCUUGCACCCUAAUCGAGGGCAAAUUUGUUAGAGAAAGAGCAAAUUAAUUUUGAACCAUUUUAAUGUAAACAUUUAUGCACCCUAAAAGAUUCAAUGUUGCAUGUUGUAUUAUACAAACUGAUUUUCAUGGGUGCAAACAAGACCAAAACCAGCCUUUCUCACUCUUUUAUUCAUCGGGUGCAAGUUCGCACCCAAAAGUAAAAGUAUACACUUUUAAAGGGGGGAUCCAGGCUAAAAAAUACCACAGUUUGAAGUGGUAAAGAAAAAUCAGACAAAAUACUGAAAAGUUCUUCAAAAUUGGACAAGGAAUAACAAAGUUCUGGCAUUGUUUCAGAGAAACGGUUCUAUGCAAGUCUUCAUGAAUAUUUAAUGAGUAAACUCCUGUCUAUCCCCACUUUGCAUUUUAUUACAUGAAUUGUGUUUACUCAUAUUUAUCGUCAAGAGCUAAAAAAAAAAAAAGGUUUUAGUGCAUUAGAUAAGAUAUUCAUUGCUGCAAAUUAUUUUAUCAGAAGGGAGAAAUAUCAUACACACAUGUAUGAAAUAAUUGAUUUCAAGUAACUACAAAAGAAUAAGUAAAGUGAGGAUAUGACAUCAGCUCACCUAAAGAAUAUUCAUGACAUUAUGCACAAAAACUGUUUUCACAAAAUAUUGCUAAACUUUAAAAUUCAAUUUGCUAUAAGAUUUUGAUGAUAUUGUCAGCAUUUUCCCAGUGAUUUUACUCUAUUUAUUUAGAUAUGAUUAUUUUCAGUCUGGAGUACCCAUUCAAACAAUCAUGAUAGCGUCAAAAUAACGAAAUGUGUUGGUGAAUGUAAUUAUAUGUCCAACUGAAAGAAAGUGGCAAAAUAGACCUUAUUUUUGCCAAGCAUCUAUCAAAAUUUUAGCUGAAUUUGGAGUUUGACCAUUGUUUUUUGUUCGGAUACAUUAGUAUUCAACAACAGAUUGGUUACUUGAUCGAUCUUGUUUGGAACUGUCGCAUUAGGGUUGCACCGGACCGUUUGUGUGAAUUUCUUUCCUGUUUUUAAACACAGCUGACGUUAGUAAAGAAUGAAUAUAACCGGCGAUCGCGAUUUUAAAAACUGCUAUGAUGUCAUGAAGAGAAUGGAUACAGCCAUGAGUGAUUGUGGAUCUGCGCAUCCCCAAAACGGCACGUUUUCACAACAUUCGGACAAAGGAAAGUCUCGUAGAUUUUGAGGUUUUGAACCUGUACAUGUGAAUUUACCGGGAUGUAGUCAUCUUGGUCCAGAAGACUAUCAUCACCCCUGUAUCAUAAUUCGUUUGUUCUUCGUUUAAAUCUGUUGAUGAUGAAAAGACUGACUUUUUGAAAAUAGGAAACUGAACCCAGUUGGUUUUAAAAGCCUUUCAAAUAUGGAUUGAGCUUUAGAAAAUAGUGUUUAUUGCUGUAUUUUUUUAUUUGAAACCACAUUGUCGUGUCAGUUAAAUUAUUGAUAAUUUAUCAUUAUUCAAAAUAUUAUUGUGUUACUCUUUCCUUCA